Non-coding RNA from Gossypium raimondii (Peruvian cotton), 120 nucleotides. Lineage: Eukaryota; Viridiplantae; Streptophyta; Magnoliopsida; Malvales; Malvaceae. The record is from Rfam.
UAGCCGUGCGGUGAGCACGGAGCGGACUAUUCUUUUGCCUUUUACUAAAUAUGAUCGUGUGCUCCCCGCUCUUAGCGGCAUAUGGCUAAUUUUGUAGGCCUAAUUUCUUAUUGUAAUGGC